GUAAAAUACUCAAUGGGUCUGCUCUCCUGCAGGUAGCAUCAUCAUGUACGGAGCGCUCCUCCUCUUUGAGUCUGAGUUUGUUCACAUUGUCGCCAUUUCCUUCACGUCGUUGAUUCUCACAGAGUUACUGAUGGUGGCACUGACGAUCCAGACUUGGCACUGGCUCAUGAUAGUGGCUGAGUUGCUUAGUCUCUCCUGCUACAUAGCUUCUCUGGUCUUCUUACAUGAAUUUAUCGAUGUUUACUUCAUUGCUACUUUGUCGUUCUUGUGGAAAGUCACUGUCAUCACUCUGGUGAGCUGUCUUCCCCUCUACGUCCUGAAGUACCUGAGGCGAAGGUUUUCUCCUCCAAGCUACUCAAAGCUCACAUCCUAGGGCUGCUUUCCUUCUGCACCAGAGACAAAUGCUGCACAUGGCUGAGAGGCAAAAAUCGUGUAGUUGUUACUAAAACAAAUACGUCUGAUAUUUGCAUAAGGAUCAUGUGGUAAUCUCUAUUACAUGCUGCUUCAUUGAAAAAGACUUCACAACUACCAUGAAUGGAGACUGAUUGGUACAAGGGAGUUCUUCGGAGUCUGGAGGCACUUAUUAGUUCAGCCACUUUUUGUCACUUUUGUUCAACUUAACUGGGGUCAAAUGCAUGCAGCUAUGGUGAUGGUUGGUUUCUCACUUGUGGUUAAAAGCAUCCAAAAGCUGCUAACUGACCUCAAAAUUUAUAUUUGACAAUUUUUAAUUUUUUAAGUACCUGUGGUGUUCCUUGCAAUGUGUUGUGUAGUUUUUUAUUCAUCUUUUCGAUUCAAGUAGGUACGUUCUUUUUACGUCUUGGAAAUCCCUUAAUGUAGGUGAUGUGCUGUAGUGCUGACCACAGAUUCCUGAUUUAUGGCAUGCUGUUCCCAUAGUGGGGCUCCAGUCUACACAUGCUUGAGAAUCUGAGCUUGUCUGAGAUUUUCUGUCAGUGCUCACCCUAGUGAUUUUGGUGGUAUCCAGCCAUCGAUAACUACAGAGAAAUGUAAUCCAAAAUGAAGAAAUGGAGUUUUGUUUAGCUUUUGUGCUUCCUGUUAGAAGGAGCUGGUGACAUAAUAGCUUUACUGUAUAUUUAUUUGUAUAGCAGAGAAUUAUCUAAACUAAAGCAAAUUUCCUUUGGAAAAAAAAUUUGCAGUUGAUCAGACUUGAAAUGUGUUGACAAUGUGAGAAGAGACUUGUACUGUUCUGCAGACAAUGUGGCAGACUGUCUUGAAUCCUUGGAGACUGAAAGGAAAGGUCACAGAGCUGCUGCUCCUCACAGCUCUACCAGGUCUGUUUCCUGUUAGGGCGGAGCAGUGAAGAUGGGCUGCAAAUAAGCGGAGGCGCUCCUGGGUGGAUGUUGUUCGUGACAAAGUCCCUACAGGAGGCAGUUUUUGAGAACCUUCCGCGUGCUUCGCUCUAAAAAACCGAACUUGAAUCAGAGGCAGGAGCAGGGUCUGUACAAAGGCAUUAGGUUUGUAUGCAAAGCAAAAAAUAGAUAUAUUCUUUAAAUCUGGUGAGUUUUGCUUUUGUAGUGAGGCUCAGCCCCCAUUGUAACGCAGUGAGAAUGGCUGCACAUGCAGACAGCUCAGGAGAACGGCAGUUACAGGAACCUUUUGCUGCUGGGGCUGUGCAUCAAUCAUGGCCCAGCUUGUAUAGUGGCAGCCAUCCUCAUCUAAUGGCCGUUCAGUCUGUGAUAAAUUAGUUGCUUUCUGUCUCGUUCCCACAUCACAAAAACCACGGUGGUGGCUGGCACUGCCUGGCGCGGCGAUGGGAAUGGCGGAGCUGUGUGCCUGCACACCCCGGGCUGUUGGGGCAGCGCGUCCCGGCCGGGCCCUGCAUGGAGCAGACGCUCCUGCUCGUCUCUGUGCCACGCAGGGCGCCUUUCAUGGACUGCCAGCUUCUGCUGCCAUUGCCGCAGCCGCUGUCGCAAACGGCAUGAAAGGCUCUGGUGUGAAAAGCAGUGGAAAAUGGGAGCGUUGUUUCGAAAGGAGAGCCGGAGUCUCUGUGGAUCCAUAGUGGUACGUCUCGGGUUUUCAAGUUUAAGAUCGCUGUGGCUUGGGUGGUGAUUGCUCUGAGGAACGCUUUGGAUGACCUGGGCACCUUUCCUUGUUCUCAGUUGUGGAGAGGAAAUAUCAAAGAGGAGGGAAGCAAGUUCCAAAGGAAUUAGAGAAGAAAUAAAAAUUUGUGUAGCCUGGGGGUGAGGAAGCAGCAGGCCUUGUUGUUAUUUCAUGUGAGGAAAACUCCCUGAGUUCAGAAAGGCGUUUUCAAAAUGCUGCCUUUCAUUCCUUCUCUUCUGAAUUGUUCCUAAAAAUAAUAAUAGUAUAACAGUAUGCAUUUCCACCCCUCUGACACACGGUUGUUUUGGGAAAGGUGCUGUAAGUCCUACAUCGCUCAGUGGUUUGUCUCCAAGGAUAAAAAGCAGUGUCUGUGCAGCCCCAUUUUGGAACAGUUGGGCUGGCAGCGUUUUGUGAAGGAUGCCAUGUGCCAAAAGGUGCUUCAUGUUAUCUUCAUUGCGACUUGCUGCAAUUCCUGAAUGGUGUCAGACGUGCAGAUGUUCCGAGUCCCCGUCAAUAUCCGAUUUAAGUAGAUUUAAGAAGAAGAAUCAAGAAUUCUUUGGCAGUUUCUUGCCACCAAGAAGUCCCUCUCGUCCUUCAGAAGAUACAUCGUGGUACGCAUCUGUCGGAUCCCCAUCCCUGUGUGUGCGAACGUCCCUCGGGGACAGCAGUGCUGCGCUACCGCCUGUAAAUAUUUCAGUUGUGUCUGUGGUAGAAUUCACUGUUUCCCAAAGUCAGUACAGUUUACACUGAGUGGACCAUAUUUGCAAAAUACUAGCUUACACCAAGAAAGGGAGUGACCUGUGAUUUCAGUAACAUUUAUUGCAUCACAACCUUAAUGCUGAAGGCCCGUUUGGUGGCAGUGGAGCAGUCUGUGGCUGUGUCCUGGGGAGGAGGCGGUGUUCCUUUGCACAAGGUUGUAAACCAGGAAGAAAUUUCUCUCUGGUUAGACGCUGCCUUUUUUAAAGUAACCAGAAAAUUAAAACUGCCAUCUAAAGAACAGUAGGAGGGAGGAGAGACUGUUGUAUGUUUCAAGUUUAGCACUUUACAUCCGCAGUUUAUUUCUCUUAAGUUAUUUAAACAUCUUGUUGAAAGCAAAGUUUAAUGAACGUGUUCCUGCUUACCGUACACGUGAAUAAAUGCAUUCUCUGUUGGAAACUUAAUUUAAUCUCUUCCAUCUAGUGUGAUCAUUAUUUGUGCUUCUCGGAAGCAAAGCAUUGUUUCCUUCUUGUAUGCAGUACCUUGUGUGUAGAUUCAAUCAGUGUUCUCUUCCCUCCCCUUCUUGUUGUUCUGGUUUAUGUACUGCAGCAGUUUGUGCAACGUGUGAGCUUUGGGACUGCGCCCCAAGCGCUGCUGUGGGAUGGCAGUGCCUGGGGUGCUCCUGUUCCCCUGCCUGCUGUGGGGAAGCUGUGCUGUGCUUAAUGGUGUGAAGGUUUUGUGACACGCAUUGUUCUGUUCUUACAUCGCUGCAGUAAUUCCAGGUGUGUUGCAACCCUUUUCAUUCUUUUUUUUCCUUUACUCUCACAUGCAUUUCCCAUGGUUUGCCCCAGGUUAUCUUUGCAAACACUUGUUCUGCUCAGCUUGUAUUGCAAUUGAAUUGUAGCAUUCUUUAUUCAGUAGCAGCAGCUUGAAUCUGAGCACAGCCUUAUCAGAACUGGGCUGAGUGAUGAGUGACAUCCCUGGUGUCCUCUCAGCGCUGAGAGCUACGUGCUGAGAGCUGCAGCUGUGGCUGGAUCAAACUGAGCAGCACCGACGGUGUUGUUUGUCUGUGGUCUUCUGCACGAUCACAAUUAAAUGCUGUUACAAACUCCUCUGCCCUCUGCAACUCUUGAAGGGACUUUUGCUAUGGUUGAUCAGGGAGCUGUGUUGAGUUAGAUGUGUGAAUCCCUAGAGCUCAUAUUCUGGCUUUCUCUUUUAAAGAGAGCUGCUGCGUCACGAGAUGCAUCAUAAAUCCUUUGUUUGCACCAGCAGUGCUCAGCACCAGGCAGGUGAGCUGCACUGCAUGCAGCUCGUUGUCAUGUCUUAUUGCACACAGCCCUUCAGGUGGGGUUGGUGCCUCUUCACGGCUGCGUAGUGAGGGCCAUCUCAGGGCCUGCUGGGACCUUCAGCGUCAGCUGGAUGGGCUCAUUUAUUUUGUAUUUAUUAUUAGUUUCUUUGGAGUUAAUAAACCCUUUGAUUUGCAUGAAAUCCUGGGUUCUUCAGCUUUGCCAAUAUGGUCCAUUACUACUGCCUACUACAAUUUGUGUACUUAUAUGCCUUUGAGAACAUUUCUAAUUGUUAAAAUUUGUUAAAAAUUAAAUGUUAAUUUAAUUUUAAUUGGGGGAGAUGGAUUCUGGUGUCAAAAUGAUAUUUACUGUGAUGCCAAUGUUUUGUACCUGUCAUCUAGUUAAACAACGUGUAAAUAUACUCUCUGUUCAAGAGAAAUAUGAAUGCCAAUUAUUUAUUGUUCUGUGGAGUUGUACGUUGCAGAUGUGUAAGAACUUAAAAGGGAAUGUUGUAAAACAAGGUGGAAAAAUAAAUUUUAUGCAACUUCUCUA
Non-coding RNA from Meleagris gallopavo (turkey), 4592 nucleotides. The record is from RefSeq and is a predicted model, not a curated record. NCBI's taxonomy places the organism in Eukaryota, Metazoa, Chordata, Aves, Galliformes, Phasianidae.